This 253-nucleotide ribosomal RNA is filed under the name uncultured bacterium. RNAcentral's name for it is "partial 16S ribosomal RNA". It matches the Rfam family "Bacterial small subunit ribosomal RNA", at positions 524 to 776 of the family's 1533-position model. The record is from RNAcentral.
UACGUAGGCAGCAAGCGUUGUUCGGAAUUACUGGGCGUAAAGAGUGUGUAGGCGGUGCUCUAAGUUUGGUGUGAAAUCUCCCGGCUCAACUGGGAGGGUGCGCCGAAAACUGGAAUGCUUGAACAUGGGAGAGGAAAGCGGAAUUCCUGGUGUAGCGGUGAAAUGCGUAGAUAUCAGGAGGAACACCUGCGGUGUAGACGGCUUUCUGGACCGAUACUGACGCUGAGGAGCGAAAGCCAGGGGAGCAAACGGG